Molecule: transfer RNA, 74 nt
Filed under: bacterium
Lineage: Bacteria
Description: tRNA-Gly
Rfam family: tRNA
About the family: Transfer RNA (tRNA) molecules are approximately 80 nucleotides in length.
Source: RNAcentral
GCGGGUAUCGUAUAACGGCAUUACGGCUGGUUGCCAAUCAGUCGACAGGGGUUCGACUCCCCUUACCCGCUCCA